AGCAAGAUCCGAGAGGAGU
RNAcentral lists this unclassified non-coding RNA (19 nucleotides) under Mus musculus (house mouse). RNAcentral describes it as "oocyte_clustered_small_RNA10233". Lineage: Eukaryota; Metazoa; Chordata; Mammalia; Rodentia; Muridae. The record is from RNAcentral.